Molecule: ribosomal RNA, 440 nt
Filed under: uncultured bacterium
Lineage: Bacteria
Description: partial 16S ribosomal RNA
Rfam family: Bacterial small subunit ribosomal RNA
Source: RNAcentral
CCUACGGGUGGCAGCAGUGGGGAAUAUUGCACAAUGGGGGAAACCCUGAUGCAGCGAAGCCGCGUGAGUGAAGAAGGCUUUCUGUAUGUAAAGCUCUAUCAGCAGGGAAGAAAAUCACGGUACCUGAUUACUAAUCCCCGGCUAACUACGUGCCAGCCGCCGCGGUAAUACGUAGGGGGCAAGCGUUAUCCGGAUUUACUGGGUGUAAAGGGAGCGUAGACGGAAGGACAAGUCUGGAGUGAAAUGCCGGGGCUUAACCCCGGAACUGCUGUGGAAACUGUGCAGCUAGAGUGCAGGAGAGGUAAGUGGAAUUCGUAGUGUAGCGGUGAAAUGCGUAGAUAUUAGGAAGAACACCAGUGGCGAAGGCGGCUUACUGGACUGUAACUGACGCUGAGGCUCGAAAGCGUGGGGAGCAAACAGGAUUAGAUACCCUUGUAGUC